RNAcentral lists this non-coding RNA (24 nucleotides) under Cricetulus griseus (Chinese hamster). Lineage: Eukaryota; Metazoa; Chordata; Mammalia; Rodentia; Cricetidae. The record is from RNAcentral.
UACGUGGACCUAGAUGAUGUUGCU